This 252-nucleotide long non-coding RNA is filed under the name Nicotiana benthamiana. RNAcentral describes it as "long non-coding RNA (NBEN_LNC033706)". Lineage: Eukaryota; Viridiplantae; Streptophyta; Magnoliopsida; Solanales; Solanaceae. The record is from RNAcentral.
UCAUUUUCAUUUCCAGGUAUUUUCUUUGGCUCAUAACGAAGGAUCAAUUGCCGAACAUGUAAUAGAUUUCAAGCAAUUUGAAGGAUAGAUUCAAGUCUAAUCUCCCUGUUAUUUUACUGAUUUCAUGUGUCUUAUACUUAGCUAUAGAAUCAUAGGUAAUGAUUAGGCUUCUCCUUUAUAAAACUUUGUGUACAAAGGACUCCUAUAGAGUAUUUUCAUAUGCGUAAUGUAACAGGACUGUCGAAAUGCUAG